This is a long non-coding RNA of Myodes glareolus (Bank vole), 1327 nucleotides long. RefSeq lists it as uncharacterized. The record is from RefSeq and is a predicted model, not a curated record. Lineage: Eukaryota; Metazoa; Chordata; Mammalia; Rodentia; Cricetidae.
AGGCCCAGGCUGGGUCCUAUUCAUUGGUUACAAGGAACUCACCAUACACAAGGAACAGCUGCUGAGUUCUGUCCAUGGUGCUGAAAACAGGGUGCACCCUCCCUCUAACCUGACCUUGACCCUGACCCUCACCCACACGUUCCUACCCACCUCAGAGCUUCUUCCUGGCACAGACAGAGCCCAGAACAUCGAAUGGUAUCACAGAAUUAGAAGGUGGCAUCAUCGUACUGCACAGUGGGAUAAGAGCAAUACAGGAGCAACCGGGCUAGCUGCUGCAGAGGCCUGGCUCCUCAUUCUGAACCAUACCAAGGGUCUGAUUGGUCCACUUAACAAGGAAGAAACUAGAAGACAGAGAUAACUACCUUGCCCAAGGCAAUGAAGAAAAUGGCGAAGCUGAGUUCCCACCGUCCACCCGCACUGACAUCCUCCUGCGGGAAAAGCUCUCAAAUCUAAGAUCCCAGCAGCCACCACGCCAGCUGGUUCUGAGAGUAUGACAUCACCAACCGUGUACAGGUCCCAGCAGCCACCACACCAGCUGGUCCUGAGAGUAUGACAUCACCAACCGUGUACAGGUCCCAGCAGCCACCACGCCAGUUGGUCCUGAUAGUCCAACAUCACCAACAGUGUGCAGGUCCCAGCAGCCACCAUACAACCUGGACCUGAGACUGUGACAUCACCAACAGUGGAUGUUCAGGUUAUGCCUUCCUAUAUGACUGGUUUAUCUUACUCAGUAUAGCACCCUCAACACUGAUCCAUGUUGUAGUCUGGGACACUAUUCUCUUCCUGACCAUGACUCUGUAAUAUUUCAUUGCAUUUAUGUCCAAAAUCUACUCCUCUAUUAUUUGGCAAGUAUAUUAAGGUCUAUCUACAGGAUGGAAAUUAGAGAAAAAAAGCAAGAUAAAUCUCAGAGCAAACAAAGAAACAAGCAGGAAAAUUUAGGGAUUUUUGCGUUAGAUAACCAAGAGAAUGUUCCAGUAAACCAAUAUGUCUCACCUGGAGUUUUGUUUGCUUGUGAGAAAAUGGACAAAUCUCUGGGAAAUGUAACUCAAAGCAUAAAACACAAAAAUGCAUAAAUUAUAAGGGUUCUGUGUGUAGGUUUGGUGUUGUGUAAUAUGGUUUUGAAUUCUCAAUGAAAUGGAGCAUUUCCCUGGAAAAUCAAAAUUCUAAAAACCCUAGACAAACUCCAUGCUUAAAAACAAUGCAUAGAAAAUGCAAAUGUAAUUUGAACACCUCCUUGCUGUUCCUGGCUUAGCCAGCUUCAAAUAACAUAUCUCUAGAGCCAGACAAACCACUCCAGACCAUUGCAGUGGGUCCCACAGUUGGCUGA